RNAcentral lists this ribosomal RNA (737 nucleotides) under uncultured Atopobium sp. RNAcentral describes it as "bacterial SSU rRNA". It matches the Rfam family "Bacterial small subunit ribosomal RNA", at positions 28 to 776 of the family's 1533-position model. The record is from RNAcentral. Lineage: Bacteria; Bacillati; Actinomycetota; Coriobacteriia; Coriobacteriales; Atopobiaceae.
GAUGAACGCUGGCGGCGCGCCUAACACAUGCAAGUCGAACGGUUAAAGCACCUUUUAGGUGUGUAUAAAGUGGCGAACGGCUGAGUAACACGUGGGCAACCUGCCCUCCUCUUGGGGAUAGCCUCGGGAAACCGAGGAUAAUACCCGAUACUUCAAUGUGGCCGCAUGACGACAUUGAGAAAGCUUUUGCGGAGAAGGAUGGGCCCGCGGCCUGUUAGCUUGUUGGUGGGGUAGAGGCCUACCAAGGCAAUGAUGGGUAGCUGGGUUGAGAGACCGACCAGCCAGAUUGGGACUGAGACACGGCCCAGACUCCUACGGGAGGCAGCAGUGGGGAAUCUUGCACAAUGGGCGAAAGCCUGAUGCAGCGACGCCGCGUGCGGGACGAAGGCCUUCGGGUUGUAAACCGCUUUCAGCAGGGACGAGGCGAUAAGUGACGGUACCUGCAGAAGAAGCCCCGGCUAACUACGUGCCAGCAGCCGCGGUAAUACGUAGGGGGCAAGCGUUAUCCGGAAUUAUUGGGCGUAAAGAGUGCGUAGGUGGUUACCUAAGCGCAAGGUUUAAAUUAGAGGCUCAACCUUUACAUGCCUUGCGAACUGGGCUACUUGAGUGCAGGAGGGGAAAGCGGAAUUCCUAGUGUAGCGGUGAAAUGCGUAGAUAUUAGGAGGAACACCGGCGGCGAAGGCGGCUUUCUGGACUGUAACUGACACUGAGGCACGAAAGCGUGGGUAGCAAACAGG